This 626-nucleotide ribosomal RNA is filed under the name uncultured bacterium. Its description in RNAcentral is "bacterial SSU rRNA". It matches the Rfam family "Bacterial small subunit ribosomal RNA", at positions 8 to 612 of the family's 1533-position model. The record is from RNAcentral.
AGAGUUUGAUCCUGGCUCAGAACGAACGCUGGCGGCGUGCUUAACACAUGCAAGUCGAACGAGAAAGUUCCUUCGGGAGCGAGUAAAGUGGCGCACGGGUGAGUAACGCGUAGAUAACCUGUCCAGGUGUUUGGGAUAGCCCUUCGAAAGGGGGAUUAAUACCAGAUACGUUAGUCUGUCAUAAGGCAGAUUAAGAAAGGUGGCCUCUAUUUAUAAGCUAUCGCAUUUGGAGGGGUCUGCGUACCAUUAGUUUGUUGGUGGGGUAAUGGCCUACCAAGACUUCGAUGGUUAACGGGUCUGAGAGGAUGAUCCGUCACACUGGCACUGAAACACGGGCCAGACUCCUACGGGAGGCAGCAGUGAGGAAUAUUGCGCAAUGGGGGAAACCCUGACGCAGCGACGCCGCGUGGGUGAGGAAGGCUUUCGGGUCGUAAAGCCCUGUCAGGUGGGAAGAAAUGUUUACAGGCUAAUACCCUGUAGAUUUGACGGUACCACCAAAGGAAGCACCGGCUAACUCCGUGCCAGCAGCCGCGGUAAUACGGAGGGUGCAAGCGUCGUUCGGAAUCACUGGGCGUAAAGGGCGCGCAGGCGGUUUGAUUAGUCAGAUGUGAAAGCCCACGGCUUAA